RNAcentral lists this ribosomal RNA (340 nucleotides) under uncultured Anaerolineaceae bacterium. Its description in RNAcentral is "bacterial SSU rRNA". It matches the Rfam family "Bacterial small subunit ribosomal RNA", at positions 1027 to 1382 of the family's 1533-position model. Lineage: Bacteria; Bacillati; Chloroflexota; Anaerolineae; Anaerolineales; Anaerolineaceae. The record is from RNAcentral.
AGCCUAUACAGGUGUUGCAUGGCUGCGUCAGCUCGUGUCGUGAGAUGUUCGGUUAAGUCCGCUAACGAGCGCAACCCUCGUCGUAUGUUAUAUGUGUCAUACGAGACUGCCGGUAAAAAGCCGGAGGAAGGUGAGGAUGAUGUCAAGUCAGCAUGACCUUUAUAUCCAGGGCUACACACACGCUACAAUGGUCUGUACAAUGGGUAGCCAAGCCGCGAGGCGGAGCCAAUCCUGAAAGCAGGCCUCAGUUCAGAUUGCAGUCUGCAACUCGACUGCAUGAAGCCGGAGUUGCUAGUAACCGCAGGUCAGCAAUACUGCGGUGAAUACGUUCCCGGGUCUU